UACAGAGGGUGCAAGCGUUAAUCGGAAUUACUGGGCGUAAAGCGCACGUAGGCGGCUUCGUAAGUCGGGUGUGAAAUCCCCGGGCUCAACCUGGGAACUGCAUUCGAGACUGCGGAGCUGGAGUAUGGAAGAGGAAGGCGGAAUUCCAGGUGUAGCGGUGAAAUGCGUAGAUAUCUGGAGGAACAUCAGUGGCGAAGGCGGCCUUCUGGUCCAAUACUGACGCUCAGGUGCGAAAGCGUGGGGAGCAAACAGG
RNAcentral lists this ribosomal RNA (253 nucleotides) under uncultured bacterium. RNAcentral's name for it is "partial 16S ribosomal RNA". It matches the Rfam family "Bacterial small subunit ribosomal RNA", at positions 524 to 776 of the family's 1533-position model. The record is from RNAcentral.